This 342-nucleotide ribosomal RNA is filed under the name bacterium. RNAcentral's name for it is "bacterial SSU rRNA". It matches the Rfam family "Bacterial small subunit ribosomal RNA", at positions 1 to 349 of the family's 1533-position model. The record is from RNAcentral.
UAAUUUGAGAGUUUGAUCCUGGCUCAGGAUUAACGCUGGCGGCGUGCUUAAUGUAUGCAAGUCAAGGGGGUCCGUCUCGCCUCGCAAGAGGCGGACGAGAUAACCGGCGGACGGGUGAGUAAUAGGUGGGAAUCUUCCUUAAAGUGGGAUAUAGCCCCGAGAAAUCGGGGGUAAUCUCCCAUGUGACCGCAAGGUCAAAGUCGCAAGACGCUUUAAGAUGAGCCUGCCUCCUAUCAGCUUGUUGGUGGGGUAAUGGCCUACCAAGGCGACGACGGGUAGCUGGUCUGAGAGGAUGGUCAGCCACAAUGGGACUGCGACACGGCCCAUACACCUACGGGUGGC